GGCUUAAGCGCGUAAAAGGAAGCGAUUGUGUUAUUUUAAUCGCAAAGAGCAAAGGCGAAACUACAGAUUGUGUUAUUUUAAUCGCAAAGAGCAAAGGCGAAAGUACAGAGCAAGUCAAUUGAUUAAUUAAAGAACAGUAAUUAAUACUAAGUAAGAGAGUAGAGUGCUAAGAGGUGAGGCUGCUUCCAUUUUUGUAUACAUUUUUCUCAAUAGAAGAGAGCAUGAGAUCCUAGAAUUCUAGAAGGAAGAACCCUCUCCUCCUGCCUCUGCUUCAAGGAGGACAAGAACAACCAAGAAAGGUGCCACUUUUGAGAUGAGAUAAUCUAAUUAAUCCCUAAUUGUCCAUCAUUAUCGGAUCCCAAGAACAUACAGGAAGGAAGGAUUGGAUUUUGUUGUUGUUGUUGUUGUUGUUGUUGUAACUACCAUCAAGAACUGAUCUGCAGCGGCGGCAUGCUUUCUUGGGGUUAAUUUCUUGGAUGAGCGAUCUAAGGGGAAAAAAGAAGAAGAAAAAAAAGGAAUGAUCACUGAAGGCUACUUGUCUCUUUCUCUCUAGCUUUAUGCGGAUUGCGGCGACGAAGCUCCGUUCUCUGGGUGGCCGGUGGCGGCAGGGGGAGCGGCGGCGGCGGAGGAGGAUGUUCCGUUGAUGUUGAAGUCGGUGGUGUGGGAAGGGGGUGAGGUGUGGUUGGUGGUGGGAGGGGGAGGAGUGGUGGAGGGGUUGAAUGGUGGGGCGGCGGUG
This 736-nucleotide long non-coding RNA is filed under the name Oryza brachyantha (malo sina). RNAcentral's name for it is "long non-coding RNA (OBRA_LNC002478)". The record is from RNAcentral. Lineage: Eukaryota; Viridiplantae; Streptophyta; Magnoliopsida; Poales; Poaceae.